GCCCAGGUUCAAAUCUGCCACUUACUAGCUGUGUGACCAUGGGUAAAUUACUUAACCUCACUGGGCUUCAGUUUUCCCAUAUGUGAAAUGAACGUAAUAAUAGUACUUACCUCAUUGGAUUGUUAUGAUGAUUAAAU
RNAcentral lists this small nucleolar RNA (137 nucleotides) under Choloepus hoffmanni (Hoffmann's two-fingered sloth). Its description in RNAcentral is "Small nucleolar RNA ACA59 (ENSCHOG00000015997.1)". The record is from RNAcentral. Lineage: Eukaryota; Metazoa; Chordata; Mammalia; Pilosa; Megalonychidae.